UAGCUUGCUAUCAGGCGUCGAGCGGCGGACGGGUGAGUAAUACUUAGGAAUCUACCUAGUAGUGGGGGAUAGCUCGGGGAAACUCGAAUUAAUACCGCAUACGUCCUACGGGAGAAAGGGGGCAACUUGUUGCUCUCGCUAUUAGAUGAGCCUAAGUCGGAUUAGCUAGAUGGUGGGGUAAAGGCCUACCAUGGCGACGAUCUGUAGCUGGUCUGAGAGGAUGAUCAGCCACACCGGGACUGAGACACGGCCCGGACUCCUACGGGAGGCAGCAGUGGGGAAUAUUGGACAAUGGGGGAAACCCUGAUCCAGCCAUGCCGCGUGUGUGAAGAAGGCCUUUUGGUUGUAAAGCACUUUAAGCAGUGAAGAAGACCUAACGGUUAAUACCCGUUAGCGAUGACAUUAGCUGCAGAAUAAGCACCGGCUAACUCUGUGCCAGCAGCCGCGGUAAUACAGAGGGUGCAAGCGUUAAUCGGAAUUACUGGGCGUAAAGCGAGCGUAGGUGGCUUGAUAAGUCAGAUGUGAAAUCCCCGGGCUUAACCUGGGAACUGCAUCUGAAACUGUUAGGCUAGAGUAGGUGAGAGGGAAGUAGAAUUUCAGGUGUAGCGGUGAAAUGCGUAGAGAUCUGAAGGAAUACCGAUGGCGAAGGCAGCUUCCUGGCAUCAUACUGACACUGAGGCUCGAAAGCGUGGGUAGCAAACAGGAUUAGAUACCCUGGUAGUCCACGCCGUAAACGAUGUCUACUAGUCGUUGGGUCCCUUGAGGACUUAGUGACGCAGCUAACGCAAUAAGUAGACCGCCUGGGGAGUACGGCCGCAC
RNAcentral lists this ribosomal RNA (819 nucleotides) under Psychrobacter sp. ECDN3_II. RNAcentral describes it as "bacterial SSU rRNA". It matches the Rfam family "Bacterial small subunit ribosomal RNA", at positions 72 to 891 of the family's 1533-position model. Lineage: Bacteria; Pseudomonadati; Pseudomonadota; Gammaproteobacteria; Moraxellales; Moraxellaceae. The record is from RNAcentral.